UGGAUUAUGGCAGCUCAAGCUCACAGAAGAGAGCUCGAGGCUCUGUACAUUCAACACUCCAUUUGGGAGGUACCGAUUCAAAAGGCUACCGUUCGGAAUCGUCUCAGCCUCAGAAGUGUUUCAAAAGGCAAUGUCUGACACAGAGGGCGCAGUAUCUAUCAUAGAUGAUGUUCUGAUAUGGGGCAAAGAUUUACAAGAACACAACGAACGACAUAAAAAAGUUUUAGAUAGAGUAAGAGAAAACAAUCAAAAAUUGAGUCCUGAUAAAUGUGAAUUCAGAAGAAAUCAAAUAUCGUAUGUUGGACA
Molecule: long non-coding RNA, 306 nt
Filed under: Mytilus galloprovincialis (Mediterranean mussel)
Lineage: Eukaryota; Metazoa; Mollusca; Bivalvia; Mytilida; Mytilidae
Source: RNAcentral